This 2297-nucleotide unclassified non-coding RNA is filed under the name Hevea brasiliensis (rubber tree). Lineage: Eukaryota; Viridiplantae; Streptophyta; Magnoliopsida; Malpighiales; Euphorbiaceae. The record is from RNAcentral.
CUAACAAAUACUAGUACAGUAAGAAGCCAAUGGAAUCAACAAAUUUCUUCCGUUUCCUCCUCAUCUUCUUAAGUGGAGCUCUUCUUUUACUGUUCACCUGGAUUCAUCUCCCAUACGCUUCACCAUCAAGCAACACUGACUUCCUCGACUGUGCCACCAACUCCCCUUGGUGCACCUCCAGAAACCGCUUCCUAUUCAAGAAACCAGCCACCGUCAAUAUCCUCAAGAAACCCCCAAGACUCACGCGCCACCAUCAUGAGUCAGACGUUCCCCACCACCCGCUUGAUCCCUUAACCAUUCGAGAACUUAACAAAGUCCGUAAAAUCCUAUCAUCUCACCAGCUCUUCAAGUCAUCUCCCUUUGCUCUACACUCCGUAGUAUUGGAAGAGCCCGACAAGUCACUUGUUCUCAAAUGGCAAAAGGGAGACCCCAUGUUACCCAGAAAUGCUGCCGUCGUCGCACGUGUGAACGGUCAAUCGCACGUGCUAACGGUGGAUAUGGAUACCGGCGAGGUAAACGUACAAGAAGCCAAUCCGCUCUCCGGUUACCCGACGAUGACGAUGGAGGACAUGACUUCAGCGACAUGGGCCCCACUAUCGAACGCUGAUUUCAACCGUACGAUCAUCGAGCGUGGAGUUGAUCUGAAGGACCUGGCUUGCCUACCUAUCUCUUUAGGUUGGUAUGGUACGAAAGAAGAGAACAGGAGACUAAUUAAGGUACAGUGCUACUCUAUGGAGGGCACUGCAAACUUCUACAUGAGGCCAAUAGAAGGGUUGACUGUGCUUCUUGAUAUGGAUACUAAACGAGUAGUGGAGAUAACAGAUAAAGGUAAGACCAUACCCAUACCGAAGGCCGCCAACACAGAUUAUCGCUAUUCCUCUCAGGGGGUCAAUCAAGAGAAGAAACUAAUCAAUCCAAUUUCCAUAGAGCAACCAAAAGGGCCAAGCUUUACUGUGGAAGAUGACCACAUGGUUAAAUGGGCAAACUGGGAAUUUCACCUCAAGCCCGACCCGAGAGCUGGGGUGAUCAUUUCUCGAGCUAGAGUCCAGGACCCGGAUACUGGAGAGAUGAGAAAUGUGAUGUACAAAGGUUUUACUUCAGAGUUAUUUGUACCUUACAUGGACCCUACAGAUGCAUGGUACUUUAAGACUUAUAUGGAUGCGGGUGAAUACGGGUUCGGUUUGCAGGCCAUGCCGCUUGACCCACUUAAUGAUUGUCCUCGAAAUGCGUAUUAUAUGGACGGAGUAUUCGCCGCCGGUGAUGGAUCUCCAUACGUCCGAUCAAACAUGAUUUGCGUGUUUGAGAGAUAUACUGGAGAUAUCGGGUGGCGGCACGCUGAGAGUCCGAUUACGGGUAUGGAGAUUAGAGAAGUAAGGCCAAAGGUGACGCUUGUGGUUAGAAUGGCAGCAUCAGUGGCGAACUAUGAUUAUAUAGUUGAUUGGGAGUUCCAGACAGAUGGGCUAAUCAGAAUUAAGGUUGGACUUAGUGGGAUUUUGAUGGUGAAAGGCACCUCAUACGUGAACAUGAACCAAGUGCCAGGCCAAGAAAAUCUCUACGGCACACUAUUAUCAGAAAACGUCAUCGGUGUAAUCCAUGACCAUUUCAUCACAUUUUACCUUGACAUGGACAUCGACGGAUCUGAUAAUUCCUUCGUAAAGGUAAACAUCCAAAGGAAACGGACCUCUCCCGGAGAAUCCCCAAGAAGAAGUUACUUGAAAGCUACAAGAAACGUGGCAAAGACAGAGAAAGAUGCACAAAUUCAGCUCAAACUUUAUGACCCAUCGGAGUUCCAUGUGAUUAACCCGAACAAAAACACACGGGUGGGCAACCCUGUUGGGUAUAAGGUGGUUCCUGGUGGCACGGCUGCUAGUUUGCUUGAUCAUGAUGAUCCACCACAGAAACGUGGAGCAUUUACAAAUAACCAAAUAUGGGUCACUCCAUAUAACCGGACCGAGGAGUGGGCAGGUGGGUUAUUUGUUUACCAGAGUCAUGGUGAAGACACUCUCGCAGUAUGGUCCGACAGGGAUCGUCCAAUUGAGAACAAGGACAUUGUGGUGUGGUACACGUUAGGUUUUCAUCACAUACCAUGUCAGGAGGAUUUUCCCAUAAUGCCAACAGUAUCUUCCAGCUUUGAUCUGAAGCCUGUCAAUUUCUACGAGAGCAACCCUAUUCUUGGUCUCCCACCUAAUGUUGAGAAGGACUUGCCUGUUUGCAAGCCUUCAGAUACUGCAUGAAUGGCAAAUAUGUCUUUUAGUUUUUGACUACAUUUAGCCUAUAUUGGGACAAAAAUAAAAAAA